Molecule: non-coding RNA, 300 nt
Organism: Myodes glareolus (Bank vole)
Lineage: Eukaryota; Metazoa; Chordata; Mammalia; Rodentia; Cricetidae
Source: RefSeq, a predicted model, not a curated record
CUUGUUGAUCUCUUGGUCGAUUCUGGCAGCCGUCUUCUCCUCGUCAGUCAGACACCAGGGACAGCAGCCCCAGGUCAGGGACCGGGCCAUGGCGAACGACUCACCAGCCACCAGGAUACAGGUGUGGAGGUCCCAGGACACCUUGUGAGGGUCACUUCUGUCCUUCCAGCACCCGGUUCCAAGGAUCAGACUCAGGUGGUCAGACUUGGCCACAAGCUCCAUUACCCUACCUCUGAGCUACCUCGCAGUCUGACAUUUUUCCUUAAAAAUAUAAAUAAGUAAAUAAAAAAUAAUAAUAAA